RNAcentral lists this transfer RNA (40 nucleotides) under Cyrilla racemiflora. RNAcentral describes it as "partial transfer RNA-Phe". RNAcentral also lists the same sequence under 5 other names. Lineage: Eukaryota; Viridiplantae; Streptophyta; Magnoliopsida; Ericales; Cyrillaceae. The record is from RNAcentral.
GUCAGGAUAGCUCAGCCGGUAGAGCAGAGGACUGAAAAUC